Molecule: long non-coding RNA, 1771 nt
Organism: Gasterosteus aculeatus aculeatus (three-spined stickleback)
Lineage: Eukaryota; Metazoa; Chordata; Actinopteri; Perciformes; Gasterosteidae
Source: Ensembl
GCAAAACAUCCAAUUAAUCAAUACUUCACCUGAUUUUUUAAUCGGGAUUAAAAGUUUGUCUUUCUUAAAACUAAAUCGUAGAAGUAAUGAGUUGUUCAAUUCUUAACUGUAUUUUAAACAGAAGCUGCUCCCAUGUGAUCGUGUGGAGGUGGAACAUGUUGAACUAGCGACUCUUCUUGUCCAACAUUUAGCCGUCUUUUAGGGACACAAUGGUGGUCCACUGCACGUUGAGUUGGAAGUAGCCUUGCAGCUAGCUUAGCCUAGCGGCUAGCUUAGCCUAGCGGUGCGUAAAGUGGUCCGUUUGCCACUCUUCUUCUGUUUGUUUUGCUUCCAAAGCAAAAAGCGUCCACAUCUUCAGCGACCGUCUGGCUUUAUCCGACCUGACUGACGACAGCACGCGGAGAUCUUGUUUCUUCGCUUUUCUUUACUUCCGGCAAACUGGAAGACCGGAAGUAAACAAAGUUGCGUUAACUUCAAACAAGUGUUUCCACCGGCGUCUUUCGGGGGAAGAAAUUAAGAGAGAGAACAGAUGUUAAAGUGGAAUCAUCUGCUCACAUGAACGACUAAAGAAUACAGAACACGUGGGUGAGAUGGUGGUUAGAUGCCUGCGUGGGUUCCUCUCCGGGUUCCUCACACGCUCCACAGACAUGAUGCGGAGGUCAAUGGCGAAUUACCUGCAGGACUGUGAACGUGGGAUUGAUGGUUGUGUGUCUCUAUGAAUCAAACUCGACUCGUCCUUCACUCCUCUGCUUGGUGGCCGGACUGGGAGUGAGACUGGGAGGACGAGGAGGGAGAGCGAGGAAGAGGAAGAGGGAGAAGAGAGAAGCAAAGUGAGCGUUUAGCCGCUGGUGUGAACUGCCUGUCGCACCAGACAGAUUCCCUGAUCCCGUAAUGGCUCGGGCUGCCGCUUCCCGGUGCAGAGCCUCCUGGUGUCGGCUGCACAUGCUCCGGAGGCCUAAUGAGGCGGCAUUAGCCGGGGGAGACGCGGUAAUUAGAGCCAACGUCAGCGCCGAGGACAGAUGGCCCGCUAAGACGAGCCUCUCCACUUCACCUCCGCAGAGCGAGUGUGUGUGCGUGUGUGUGUGUGUGUGUGUGCGUGUGUGUGUGUGUGUGUAGGUCCUGACAGGAGAGAGAGGGGAAAGCAAAAUGUGUCAGAAGAGAGAGAGAGAAACGUGUGGGAAGAGACAACAGAGGGAAAAGGAAGUGGAUGGAGAUGCAUAAAUCAAUCAAGCUGCUCGCACCGGAUGCUUCCAACACCAAACGGGCCGGCGAGCGCCGGCAGGCGGAGCGGCGAGGUGACGGUUUGUCUCAACGCUAAAGAGCAGGAUGGAGGAGAUUUGAAGAAAAGGAAACGUGCACUCAUCAAAAAAGAUACAGCAGAAAAAGGAAAAAAGUAAAUACGAGGAACAUACAAAUUCUGAAAGAGAAAUUCUCAUUCUCACUAUUCUAUUCAACGUUCAAAAAGAAGAGGAAAAAGAUGAGGAACGAAAAGAAAAGAAGGAGAAGGGAUGAAGACCAGGAAGCAGGGUUGCUGAAGAGGAAACUUGAGAAGGUGGAUAAAUAGAGAAGAAUGAAAUGUAAGAGGAACGAAUGUGGGAAUUGAUCGCGAAAAGGAAAAGAGAUGUGAAAAAUAUUCAAGAGUGGAGAUGUUGGAGGGAAAAGCAGUGAAAAGAAAGAGACGAGGAAAGAAAUAAAGAUGGGAAAUAAAUGUGUUGAUAAUGGAAAAGAGGAAGCGUCGGAGAGAGACGGAGGGUGAGAGUGUGGAGGAAGG